UACGGAGGGUGCAAGCGUUAUCCGGAAUCACUGGGUUUAAAGGGUGCGUAGGCGGCCUUGUAAGUCAGUCGUGAAAUCGCUGGGCUCAACCCAUGCAAUUGCGAUUGAUACUGCGAGACUUGAAUGGGGUUAAGGCAGGCGGAAUGUGGCAUGUAGCGGUGAAAUGCAUAGAUAUGCCAUAGAACACCGAUUGCGAAGGCAGCCUGCUGGGCCUUUAUUGACGCUGAGGCACGAAAGCGUGGGGAGCAAACAGG
This 254-nucleotide ribosomal RNA is filed under the name uncultured bacterium. RNAcentral's name for it is "partial 16S ribosomal RNA". It matches the Rfam family "Bacterial small subunit ribosomal RNA", at positions 524 to 776 of the family's 1533-position model. The record is from RNAcentral.